Molecule: ribosomal RNA, 336 nt
Filed under: uncultured bacterium
Lineage: Bacteria
Description: bacterial SSU rRNA
Rfam family: Bacterial small subunit ribosomal RNA
Source: RNAcentral
ACUCCUACGGGAGGCAGCAGUGGGAAUAUUGCACAAUGGGGAAAGCCCAUCGAUGCAGCCAUGCCGCGCUGUGUGAAGAAGGCCAAUUCGGGCUUGGUUAAAGACACUUUCAGUAGGGAGGAAGGUAGUGUAGUUAACACCUGCAUUAUUUGACGUUACCUACAGAAGAAGCACCGGCUAACUCCGUGCCAGCAGCCGCGGUAAUACGGAGGGUGCGAGCGUUAAUCGGAAUUACUGGGCGUAAAGCGCAUGCAGGCGGCCUGUUAAGUCAGAUGUGAAAGCCCGGGGCUUAACCUCGGAAUUGCAUUUGAAACUGGCAGGCUAGAGUCUUGUAGA